Long non-coding RNA from Lynx canadensis (Canada lynx), 679 nucleotides. RefSeq lists it as uncharacterized. The transcript has 3 exons. Lineage: Eukaryota; Metazoa; Chordata; Mammalia; Carnivora; Felidae. The record is from RefSeq and is a predicted model, not a curated record.
AGGGCGCUGCCCAGCAGGAGGCAGAGCUGCUGCGAGAAGAAGACCCAGGAGAUCUGGGGCAGCGAGCUGUGCGUCUGGCAGCGCAGGUCCAGCAGCGUGGGCCCCAGGAAGGCGAUGCACAGGCCGAAGCUGAAGAAGACGCUCCAGUAGUAUCAUCACGCUGUCCACCUCCUUCAGGAACCUUUUCUGGACAAAUUCUAUCCAACCCCAAAAUUCUAGCCAGCCCCUGAUUGACUUCUUGCCCCUACAAUCUUCACAGCUGUAUCCAUGGAUUGCUAGGUGCCUCUUCCUGUCACCCAGCCUCCCUUGCAGCCAGUGAAACGGGUCGCCUCCUCUGGAAAGCUUUCCCUGACCUUCCUAGGGCCCCAAACUACAUCAUUGCUCAUCACCUGUCUACCGCCUCUCCUCCAAGGCAAGGGCCACGGGGUUUGUUCGUCACUGAGUUCCCAGGACUGGCUCUGUGGUGAGAGAUGUUUGCCCUACAGUGACUCCCACUUAGUCCUUGAAGUUGAUAAACAAUAAAUCAAUUGUAUAUUUUGGACCAUCAACAGUGAUCUACAUCCGGGAAACAUUCAGGGAGAAAGCAAACAAGAUGAUAUAACAGAGAGUGAAAUAAAAGCCACGUACUCUCACUACCAACCUUUCACGUACGUGGGAGCUGCCCAAAUUCCUUAGUGCA